UACGGAGGGUGCAAGCGUUAUCCGGAUUCACUGGGUUUAAAGGGAGCGUAGGUGGGUUGGUAAGUCAGUGGUGAAAUCUCCGAGCUUAACUCGGAAACUGCCAUUGAUACUAUUUAUCUUGAAUAUCCUGGAGGUGAGCGGAAUAUGUCAUGUAGCGGUGAAAUGCUUAGAUAUGACAUAGAACACCAAAUUGCGAAGGCAGCUCACUACGGGGUCAUUGACACUGAGGCACGAAAAGCGUGGGGAUCAAACAGG
This 255-nucleotide ribosomal RNA is filed under the name uncultured bacterium. RNAcentral's name for it is "partial 16S ribosomal RNA". It matches the Rfam family "Bacterial small subunit ribosomal RNA", at positions 524 to 776 of the family's 1533-position model. The record is from RNAcentral.